GGCCUUCGGGCAUGUGCACGCUGACCGUGUUUCAACAAUUUCUCACCUGUGAACCUAAUGWAGGAUGCCUCUCCUCCGGGAGGGGGGACCUAUGUCUUCAUAUACAUCUUCGUGUAGAAAGUCUUAGAAUGUUUACUAUCAGAGAGUCGCGACUUCUAGGAGACGCGAAACUCUUGAGAUAAAAGUUAUUACAACUUUCAGCAAUGGAUCUCUUGGCUCUCGCAUCGAUGAAGAACGCAGCGAAAAGCGAUAUGUAAUGUGAAUUGCAGAUCUACAGUGAAUCAUCGAAUCUUUGAACGCACCUUGCGCUCCUCGGUGUUCCGAGGAGCAUGCCUGUUUGAGUGUCAGUAAAUUCUCAACCCCUCUUGAUUUWUUUUUGAGGGAGUUUGGAUAGUGGGGGUUGCCGGAGACUAAUAAGACUCGGGCUCUCCUGAAAUGCAUUGGCUUGCGAUAGACUUUCGACUUUGCGCGACAAGGCUUUCGGCGUGAUAAUGAUCGCCGUUCGCUGAAGCGCAUGAAUGAAGGUUUCGCGCCUCUAAUAUGUCGACUCUUAUUAUCUCUUCGGAGAGAAAAGGUCUUCUUUAUUGACUUUGACCUCAAAUCA
RNAcentral lists this ribosomal RNA (604 nucleotides) under Rhizopogon subclavitisporus. RNAcentral's name for it is "eukaryotic LSU rRNA". The stretch from base 193 to 347 matches the Rfam family "5.8S ribosomal RNA". Lineage: Eukaryota; Fungi; Basidiomycota; Agaricomycetes; Boletales; Rhizopogonaceae. The record is from RNAcentral.